UUAUUUGAGUUACUGGUGUUGAGGAUGUUUUCCCCAUUGAGUCUCCACAAAACUCUUUGCAUCUCUAGAGGCAACAUUUGCAUAUCAUGAUCAUUCACAUCAUGCUCAAUCAUGCGUGUUUGACAUUUAAUCUAAAUAUUUGUUGUUAGUCGUCGUUCUUCUAACUCUAAAAGUCUAGCUAUCACUGGCACUCCAAUUGAAAAUCCAAUUGUUGUUGGUACCUCGAAGUUUGGACAUGACCAAUCUCUUCUUUUUCCCU
This 259-nucleotide long non-coding RNA is filed under the name Lathyrus oleraceus (garden pea). RNAcentral describes it as "Pisum sativum (pea) long non-coding RNA (PSAT_LNC005239)". The record is from RNAcentral. Lineage: Eukaryota; Viridiplantae; Streptophyta; Magnoliopsida; Fabales; Fabaceae.